Molecule: ribosomal RNA, 253 nt
Filed under: uncultured bacterium
Lineage: Bacteria
Description: partial 16S ribosomal RNA
Rfam family: Bacterial small subunit ribosomal RNA
Source: RNAcentral
UACGUAGGGUGCAAGCGUUAAUCGGAAUUACUGGGCGUAAAGCGUGCGCAGGCGGUUAUGUAAGACAGAUGUGAAAUCCCCGAGCUCAACUUGGGAACUGCAUUUGUGACUGCAUGACUAGAGUACGGUAGAGGGAGAUGGAAUUCCGCAUGUAGCAGUGAAAUGCGUAGAUAUCUGGAGGAACACCGGUGGCGAAGGCGGCAUCCUGGACCGAGACUGACACUGAGGAGCGAAAGCCAGGGGAGCAAACAGG